Molecule: long non-coding RNA, 435 nt
Organism: Bufo gargarizans (Asiatic toad)
Lineage: Eukaryota; Metazoa; Chordata; Amphibia; Anura; Bufonidae
Exons: 3
Source: RefSeq, a predicted model, not a curated record
UUCACCAAUGCAGCCAAUUGUUGUCACUGUGGCACACGUGACUACCGUCCAUUCCAGAAGUUUACAAGCGGGGGCCAUAGUGUGGCUUACUUAGCUGUGGACUAAAGGAAGAGUGGUGGACUGAAGGAGCCAGAAAAUAACAGAAUGGCGCAGGACAACAAGGAAAGGUGAGCUGACGAAUGAAUGAUCACUUGUUCCUACAGAUUAGGCCUCUGCAUGGAGGAUUUUCACAAGCUGCAGUAGAUAUCUGGGGUCUUUUUGGUGUACCUACCUCCUCAAACAAUAUGAUUUAUUCUGAGCAGGGCAAACCACACUUCAAGGGUCUGCAUUGCUGCGUUUUCCUCUCCGCAGUGGACGAGAUUUGGGGGAAACUCACCAUGGCAUGCCACAGCAUCGCCAUUGUACAGCAGGACAGAAGACCAGAGCAUCAAAAAU